RNAcentral lists this transfer RNA (69 nucleotides) under Echidna rhodochilus. RNAcentral describes it as "tRNA-Phe". It matches the Rfam family "tRNA". From Rfam's summary of the family: Transfer RNA (tRNA) molecules are approximately 80 nucleotides in length. Their secondary structure includes four short double-helical elements and three loops (D, anti-codon, and T loops). Lineage: Eukaryota; Metazoa; Chordata; Actinopteri; Anguilliformes; Muraenidae. The record is from RNAcentral.
GUUAAUGUAGCUUAACCUAAAGCAUGGCACUGAAGAUGCCAAGAUGGGCCAUAAAAAGUCCCAAUAACA